This 517-nucleotide ribosomal RNA is filed under the name Salmonella enterica subsp. enterica. Its description in RNAcentral is "partial 16S ribosomal RNA". It matches the Rfam family "Bacterial small subunit ribosomal RNA", at positions 108 to 621 of the family's 1533-position model. Lineage: Bacteria; Pseudomonadati; Pseudomonadota; Gammaproteobacteria; Enterobacterales; Enterobacteriaceae. RNAcentral also lists the same sequence under 1 other name. The record is from RNAcentral.
GAGUAAUGUCUGGGAAACUGCCUGAUGGAGGGGGAUAACUACUGGAAACGGUGGCUAAUACCGCAUAACGUCGCAAGACCAAAGAGGGGGACCUUCGGGCCUCUUGCCAUCAGAUGUGCCCAGAUGGGAUUAGCUUGUUGGUGAGGUAACGGCUCACCAAGGCGACGAUCCCUAGCUGGUCUGAGAGGAUGACCAGCCACACUGGAACUGAGACACGGUCCAGACUCCUACGGGAGGCAGCAGUGGGGAAUAUUGCACAAUGGGCGCAAGCCUGAUGCAGCCAUGCCGCGUGUAUGAAGAAGGCCUUCGGGUUGUAAAGUACUUUCAGCGGGGAGGAAGGUGUUGUGGUUAAUAACCGCAGCAAUUGACGUUACCCGCAGAAGAAGCACCGGCUAACUCCGUGCCAGCAGCCGCGGUAAUACGGAGGGUGCAAGCGUUAAUCGGAAUUACUGGGCGUAAAGCGCACGCAGGCGGUCUGUCAAGUCGGAUGUGAAAUCCCCGGGCUCAACCUGGGAAC